RNAcentral lists this long non-coding RNA (1301 nucleotides) under Cavia porcellus (domestic guinea pig). Its description in RNAcentral is "lncRNA (ENSCPOG00000039780.1)". Lineage: Eukaryota; Metazoa; Chordata; Mammalia; Rodentia; Caviidae. The record is from RNAcentral.
CUCCAGGAAAUUCCUCAGGGGACUGACAGUCCUGGAUGCUGGGAAUCCCAAAAGGUUGAUUGAUAGCCUCCAAGACCUAUAACACUCAGCCUGGAACACGAAGAGCUAGAAGGCAUGGCACUCAAAGCUCAGAGCUGUAACACUGAGGACUGAGAGCUGCUGCCUCUUAAAGCCUGAAGCUGCUGAUAGCAAGCAAGCCGCGCUUCGCCAAUUCAUGAUUUCUAUCUGAAUACAGCAAGAAGAUCCCUCAACGGAUUGAAGACACCAGAAAGAUAAGAUCUUAAUAUUUACUUCUCAAACUAUUCCUGCUUUACAUAUGAAACAGCUAAGGUUGUGAUUUCUAUGAUUUUUGAAAGUCACUCACUAAGAGAGACUAGAAUCAAACUCGGGCCGAUUCUAAAAUCCUGGGGUCAUGCUACAGAAUACAGCAUCAGAAACAGUUUCAACAACCUGAGAUUAACCAGGAAUUUGUCUCUUGGUUCUUUGUUUCCAAAUACGUAUCUUGUAAAACGAGUAACUAGAAAUUAUCUGAAAUCUUUGUUGAAUAUAACAACUAUAUUGUACUUGACUGUUCUGUAUAUCUUGUAGGGAAGGCAUUAGAGAAGAUUAGAGGAGGUAGGGAGGAAGUGGGGGAAAAGUUGGAGGAAGGAAGCCAGAGAGGCGAACCACGUCAUCUGCUGAGUUUCCGGCCUACACAAGACUGUACCUGCUCCCCUGAUCCUCUGAUGCUUGAACAGAUAGGUGGGACUGAAGGACUCUUCUGCUCACAAGUGGGCAGAGGGCUCUGAAAGUGCCAGGAGUUUUUCCCUGAGAGCUGGUUAGAGAAGGUUAGAAUGUUUAGGACUUGCGGAAAAGUCAGUAUUAUAUGGGCAACCCUUUGUAUUAUGUAUUCCGCAUUAGUAGAUGCAAUCAGCCAUGUACUAAGCAGAUUUGAAAAAAGUUGUGUGUGUACUAAACGUACUGAUAUUAUUUUGUCAUUACUAAAUAAUAUAGUAAAACACCUAUUUAUAUCACAUUUAUAUUGCAUUAGGUUUUAUAAACAACAGAGAGAUUAUUUAAUAUGCACAGGAGGGUAUGCAAGGAUCACAUGCAAAUGCUAUACCAUUUUAUUUAAGAAACCUGAGCACUUGACGAUUUUGACAUUUCAGAGGUGGAGUGAAACUGAAACCAGUCCUUUGAGGAGACCGAGGGACAACUCUGUUGGAGAAACUCUUUUUAGGAAUGUGCUGAUGCGCCCACAGCUGCUUGCUGUGCAGGAGAAUAAAAGUGGUGCUCUGAUGACUAAGUUGGAUGGUGAAUAG